RNAcentral lists this ribosomal RNA (254 nucleotides) under uncultured bacterium. RNAcentral describes it as "partial 16S ribosomal RNA". It matches the Rfam family "Bacterial small subunit ribosomal RNA", at positions 524 to 776 of the family's 1533-position model. The record is from RNAcentral.
CACGUAGGGUGCGAGCGUUGUCCGGAAUUAUUGGGCGUAAAGAGCUCGUAGGCGGUGUGUCGCGUCGGCCGUGAAAACCUGGGGCUUAACUCUGGGCUUGCGGUCGAUACGGGCAUCACUGGAGUUCGGCAGGGGAGACUGGAAUUCCUGGUGUAGCGGUGAAAUGCGCAGAUAUCAGGAGGAACACCGGUGGCGAAGGCGGGACUCUGGGCCGAUACUGACGCUGAGGAGCGAAAGCGUGGGGAGCAAACAGG